RNAcentral lists this transfer RNA (30 nucleotides) under Xanthium strumarium var. canadense. RNAcentral describes it as "partial tRNA-His". Lineage: Eukaryota; Viridiplantae; Streptophyta; Magnoliopsida; Asterales; Asteraceae. The record is from RNAcentral.
GGCGGAUGUNGCCAAGUGGAUCAAGGCAGU